GCACCACGACCCCAGGUCAGGCGGGAUUACCCGCUGAGUU
RNAcentral lists this ribosomal RNA (40 nucleotides) under Acer lobelii. RNAcentral describes it as "partial 25S ribosomal RNA". Lineage: Eukaryota; Viridiplantae; Streptophyta; Magnoliopsida; Sapindales; Sapindaceae. The record is from RNAcentral.